RNAcentral lists this transfer RNA (76 nucleotides) under Caulobacter sp. Its description in RNAcentral is "tRNA-Lys". It matches the Rfam family "tRNA". From Rfam's summary of the family: Transfer RNA (tRNA) molecules are approximately 80 nucleotides in length. Their secondary structure includes four short double-helical elements and three loops (D, anti-codon, and T loops). The record is from RNAcentral. Lineage: Bacteria; Pseudomonadati; Pseudomonadota; Alphaproteobacteria; Caulobacterales; Caulobacteraceae. RNAcentral also lists the same sequence under 43 other names.
GGGUGCAUAGCUCAGUUGGUAGAGCAGCUGACUCUUAAUCAGCGGGUCGUAGGUUCGAAUCCUACUGCACCCACCA